This 3833-nucleotide long non-coding RNA is filed under the name Lynx pardinus (Iberian lynx). Lineage: Eukaryota; Metazoa; Chordata; Mammalia; Carnivora; Felidae. The record is from RNAcentral.
GAGCCUCGGUGAGAGGUUCCCUGAACUUGGCGCCCAGAGGGAACUUAAGGUCGGAGGCCUCUCCCAGGCCUGGGCUGGUCCCGGCGCCCGGUAGCCCACUCAUUUUGCCCCUGGCCACCUCCAACCCCGCCUAGUCUUAAAUAGCCCUCCACCCGCUAGCCCUGAGUCCCGCCUCCAUGAAGCAGGGUCCAAUCCAGCCCCGGAGGGCGCCCUCUCUUGGGGACCUUCAACAGCCGGGAGAGAGCAAAGGCUUCGGGAGCGGGCGUCUCUGUGUUAGGCGUUUCCUCAGACGUCCUUGGCGGGGUCGCGGGCUCCGGAGGCUGCCAGGGCGGGGCGGAGGAGGGGGUGUGGAAAGGUGUAGGGACCAGAGACAGAAGCCAAAAGAUAGCGCAUUCUCAACACCCAACACCCACUUUUUACCACUCCUAAGCUUUUGAUUCCCACCUGCUCACUCCCGGCUCCCUUCGCAUCGGCCCUUUAGGAGGAGACAGCUGGCUGGGCCGCUGUGACCUGUCAUUCCCAGAGCCUCUGCAUCCCCCCUCCCCAAGAGGUGAAGAUGCCGCCCCUCCCCCCCCCACACACAACACACACAUACCUCUACCCCAGACCCAAAUCCUCACGGGGCACAGCUUGCCCCCAAGAAAGUGUAAGAGGCUCUGUGGGCAGAGAAGCGUCACAAACUGCUGAGCUGGGCCACAGCUACAUGUACAAUGUAGGUCCUCAAAAACUUAUAUUUGUGGUUAAAUUAAGUUCAAAAGGGGCAUGCACCCACCUCAUGUACCCCUGUGGUCCCUCAAGAGAUACAGAGGUUCUGAGCUCCAGAAUCCUAUUUUCCCCAUCCCCUCCUCCAUUUACAAGAAUGCUUGGCACCCCUCCCCAUCACCCUCUGGUCCCCAGUCCCUGACCCCAAAGCCCUGGGGGUGGGGUACAGGGAGGGUGGGUCUCCCCUCUUCAAUUCCUCCUAUUGUUCCCCAGAAGUCUUAUCUGGGUUGUACGUCCUGUCCCCCCCCUUAGAGGUCCCUCCCCCCAUUGUCGGCCAAAGGGACCUCAGGCCCACAGGGAGGCUCCUGCUCCUCCUCACCCUCCCACCCCAGCAGCCUAUUGUCUGCUGAGGAAGCCCAAGUACACGUGACCAAGCCCAGGGGACAAAUGGACACAGUGGACACACCGAUGCCCACAGACCCAGGAUAGGGCAUCUGGACAUGGAUCUCGGCGUGUUUGGCUUUCUCUGUCCCAGGGGCUGUCCCUAAGUAGGGAAGGGUGAAGGCCCCUGUGGGCUGUGCAUCUUGGGUCUGUGGCCUGAAGAAGAAUCCUUUCCUGCUCACGAUGGAUAUGCCUUAUGACCUCGCAGACCGCAAAAAGAAGGAGAUCCAAAGCUGAAAAGCGCCACAGCCCCCAGCCUCCUCUCCACCUUUCCAUUCUCCCUCAGCAGAACCUGGAGGCCUCAGAACGAAAGGUACUCGGGCAUUUAGUGCUUUAGAAUCUGGGUGUUGGGGGAAUGGUGGGAAGUCAGACCACACUGGACUUCCCAAUGGAGUCUAGAAUGGAGAGAUGGGAGAAAAAGGCUGGGGAAAGGGCAGGAUAUACAUCUAGGAACUAGGGUUUUCCAGUGGUCCCAAGUUCCAGGUCUAGACUGUGAGAUGCUGCAGCUGUCGGUCAGGUACAAAGACAGUGACAUCUUUUCUCUUACACCCUGUGUCCUCCUCUCACCAGACUGUCCACACGCCAGCUGGUUUCUCCAUUUCACUUCACCCCACCAACCCCUCCCAUAGCUCCCCUUCCCUCUGCCGAGACAGCAGCCUUAGUGAUAUCACAAAAGCUUUAUUUUCAGAAAACCGAAAGAAACAAAAUCAAAAUCAAAACCAAUCAUUUUUACCUGGCCCCUGCCCCAGCCCUCCCACCCACCCACACAUCCUCCUUUUGGGGGGGCACCUGUGAUGCAUGCAGAAGGGGUGGGAGCUGAAGGAACCUACAUUCCUUAAACAGAAAGAAGUCCUUUUGAGUCUAGGUAUCCUCGUCCAAGUCAACACCACUCCCAGCCUUGCCCCCUCUCCAGACACAUCAAGAAGGAAUUCUGAGGUGGUGCCAGAAGGUUUGCCCUGAAGUUCCUCGGGAAAUAGGGUGGCCAGGCCAGCACCACCCCAGGCCUUCACCAGUUACAGCUCAUCUUCAUCCAGCUUGGCAAGUCUGGCUUGGCAGGGAGGGGUAUUUGGGAUUGGUGGAGCUGGAGGAGAGUCACGAGGAGCUUGGGGGAAGUCACUGAGGGCCUGAGGAAAGACUCAAGUCAGAGGAUAAAAAAAGUUCCGGAAUCCACCCUCACUCCUGUCUUUUCAGUGCAUGCCCUAGCCAAGCCACCUCCUCUUGCCAGGCAUCUUAGAUGAUCCGAGACCAUCAGCCUCUCCCAGGGUUGAACUGGAGGAGGGACAGGUAAGAGUAGGGCAGUAGGAAGGGGCAGACAAAAGGCAGGUGGUGGUUAUAAGGAAAUAUGGGGGGAAGGGAAUUUAGGGAUCCCAGAACAAGAGGAGCCCUCCCCAUUCUAUAGCAGGGGCGCUCCAUUCCUCAUACCUGUGUGUCCAGGGGCAGGGGGGCUCUGGCCACCUCCCUUUUGGGCAACAGCAGCAGGGAGGGGAGAGAGCCGUUGAUGGGUGCUUGUGUGCUGACCUGGGCCUGGUCUCCAGGCCGGAUUCUCCCAGGACUCCCCACUCUAAGCCCUCCUGGCCGCCCCAGGCUGUUGGUCUGACUCUCCCUCCUCUGAUACUCAAUGGGUGACUGCAAUGCUGGGGCAAAGAGAGGAACAGAAGGAGAGUUACAACAGAGACAGGCCUUUUCCCUAAGAGCUCUGCCCAGACCACCCUCCCACUUUGCCCUCCUCCCAUGAACUGUCAGCCAGUAUAAAUUGCUGGGGAGAUGAAGAGAAGCUGGGGUCAGAGGGCAGGGAUUGGAGACUGGGCAGUGAGGGAGGGAUUCAGGAGGUCAAAGGGCUGAAGGAACAUGUGGGGGAGGGAGGGUGAGAGCUUCACCAUUGAGAAAGUUCCGCUGGCUUUCCAGGAUCUGAGCCACUUGCUUGAUCCAGGCCUGACUGACCGCAGGAUCUGCAGUCUGUAGGACAUAGCGCUGGAUCCCACCCUCUGGCCCUCUGGAGGUCAGUGCAAAGCGGCAAGGGUCACCUUGAAGGUUCCCCUCCAGUCCCAGGCAGCUCACCUGGAUUGGCAAAUAGGAGACAGCCCCCAAAUUCUUUAGGCCCUCUCUGGUUCCUGCCCCUUCCAACAAAUCCAAGAACCAGACAUUCUCUCAGAGGUCUCACCCUAUCCCAGGCAGACCCCUCCCUUGUGGCCUCCUCCCCACCUUGAUGCUGCUUUUGUACACAUAUCCAGCCUGCGUUCCACCUCGUACUCCUCCUCCCAGGGCCUCGCUGAAGAUGAUGAUUUGCUCAAAGAGGAAGACACGUCUCUCUCGACCCCGGGAGGAGAGCAGACCGCCAGCCUCAGGCUCUGUGACCCAGAAUGUGUCCUGGCCCAAGAGCUUCCCCUGAGCAGUCAGUUUGCCCUAGAACCAAAGGACGGUGGCUUUGAGAAAAAAGCGAGAAGAGAAAAGGGACACUCUCUGUUCCUCCCUCCUUCCCCUGACGCUCCCAACCAACCAUGGGGUCAGUCCCAGGGGAGGACAAUUCCCCAUUAGGACGUCCCAAGUACUCAGACUGGGGCAGAAGAGCAUUGGGCCUCCAGUUUCCUGUUCUAUCCCCAUACCUCAAACCCCCGAAGUCUCCCCAGGGUCAUCAUGUCAUUGCAGCGCUUGGGUACAAAGCACAUGACCUCCACAGCUUGCUGGGUCAC